CGGCGUGUGAAGCGGCAACAGCUCAAAUUUGAAAUCUGGCCCCCCGGCCCGAGUUGUAAUUUGUAGAGGAUGCUUCUGGGUAGCGACCGGUCUAAGUUCCUUGGAACAGGACGUCAUAGAGGGUGAGAAUCCCGUAUGCGACCGGCCCGCGCCCUCCACGUAGCUCCUUCGACGAGUCGAGUUGUUUGGGAAUGCAGCUCUAAAUGGGAGGUAAAUUUCUUCUAAAGCUAAAUACCGGCCAGAGACCGAUAGCGCACAAGUAGAGUGAUCGAAAGAUGAAAAGCACUUUGGAAAGAGAGUUAAAAAGCACGUGAAAUUGUUGAAAGGGAAGCGCUUACAACCAGACUUUGGGGCGGUGUUCCGCCGGUCUUCUGACCGGUCUACUCUCCGUCCCGAGGCCAACAUCAUCUGGGACCGCCGGACAAGACCUCAGGAAUGUAGCUCCCCCUCGGGGGAGUGUUAUAGCCUGUGGUGAUGCGGCGCGUCCCGGGUGAGGUCCGCGCUUCGGCAAGGAUGUUGGCGUAAUGGUUGUCAGCGGCCCGUCUUGAAACACGGACCAAGGAGUCUAACAUCUAUGCGAGUGUUCGGGUGUCAAACCCCUACGCGGAAUGAAAGUGAACGGAGGUGGGGAAGGGGCAACCCUGCACCAUCGACCGAUCCUGAUGUCCUCGGAUGGAUUUGAGUAAGAGCAUAGCUGUUGGGACCCGAAAGAUGGUGAACUAUGCCUGAAUAAGGGUGAAGCCAGAGGAAACUCUGGGUGGAGGCUCGGCAGCGGUUUCUGACGUGCAAAUCGAUCGUCAAAUUUGGGGUAUAGGGGGCGAAAAGACUAAUCGAAACCAUCUAGU
This 845-nucleotide ribosomal RNA is filed under the name Zymoseptoria tritici. RNAcentral describes it as "partial large subunit ribosomal RNA". It matches the Rfam family "Eukaryotic large subunit ribosomal RNA", at positions 87 to 948 of the family's 3401-position model. The record is from RNAcentral. Lineage: Eukaryota; Fungi; Ascomycota; Dothideomycetes; Mycosphaerellales; Mycosphaerellaceae.